Nycticebus coucang (slow loris) is the source of this 107-nucleotide small nucleolar RNA. RefSeq annotates it as small nucleolar RNA SNORA5. Lineage: Eukaryota; Metazoa; Chordata; Mammalia; Primates; Lorisidae. The transcript has a single exon. The record is from RefSeq and is a predicted model, not a curated record.
UGCAGCCAAGCAGGGCCUGGCCCCGGCCAAAAACUGCAAAAAAAAAAUAGUGGCUUUGAGGCUUGGUGCAUGUAGCUCAGCGGCUAGGGCGCCAGCCACAUACACUG